RNAcentral lists this non-coding RNA (91 nucleotides) under Streptomyces vietnamensis. RNAcentral's name for it is "sodF sRNA". It matches the Rfam family "sodF sRNA". From Rfam's summary of the family: Identified in Streptomyces coelicolor. It is produced from sodF mRNA by cleavage of about 90 nucleotides from its 3'UTR. Lineage: Bacteria; Bacillati; Actinomycetota; Actinomycetes; Kitasatosporales; Streptomycetaceae. The record is from Rfam by way of RNAcentral.
AGGCUCCUGCUCGUGAUCGUCUUCUCAACCUUCACCGGGCAGGCGGAAAAGAGGACGGCCCCCGCGAUGACGUGAAUCGCGGGGGCCGUCU